This 397-nucleotide RNase P RNA is filed under the name Bacteroidota bacterium. RNAcentral's name for it is "RNase P RNA component class A". It matches the Rfam family "Bacterial RNase P class A". From Rfam's summary of the family: Ribonuclease P (RNase P) is a ubiquitous endoribonuclease, found in archaea, bacteria and eukarya as well as chloroplasts and mitochondria. Its best characterised activity is the generation of mature 5'-ends of tRNAs by cleaving the 5'-leader elements of precursor-tRNAs. Cellular RNase Ps are ribonucleoproteins. The record is from RNAcentral. Lineage: Bacteria; Pseudomonadati; Bacteroidota.
ACUACCAGCCGCGCCAUCGAUCCCAUGGCAACAUGGGGUAGGAAAGUCCGGACAGCGCAGGACGAUGCACCGGUUAAGCGCCGGGUCCCGUUUCGGCGGGAACAGAGAGUGCCACAGAAAAUAACUGUCCCGAAGCGAAGUUCUGCUUCAGGAUGAGGGUGAAAACGUAGGGUAAGAGCCUACGAUGCCGUGCAGUAAUGUACGGGAUGGGUAAACCUUGCAUGCUGUAAUGCCACGUAAAUCUCCGGGUCCCGAUCAUUGAUCGGGGCGGUAAGCGGUCCGUUUACUACAACACGGUUGUACAGAGAAGGGUAGGCAGCAAGAUCACGGCAGUAAUGCCGGGGCCAGAUAAAUGAUGGUGUUGAAACAGAAUCCGGCUUAUGAGCUGGUAGUUAUU